GAUGAACGCUGGCGGCGUGCCUAAUACAUGCAAGUCGAACGAGUUCUCGUUGAUGAUCGGUGCUUGCACCGAGAUUCAACAUGGAACGAGUGGCGGACGGGUGAGUAACACGUGGGUAACCUGCCCUUAAGUGGGGGAUAACAUUUGGAAACAGAUGCUAAUACCGCAUAGAUCCAAGAACCGCAUGGUUCUUGGCUGAAAGAUGGCGUAAGCUAUCGCUUUUGGAUGGACCCGCGGCGUAUUAGCUAGUUGGUGAGGUAAUGGCUCACCAAGGCGAUGAUACGUAGCCGAACUGAGAGGUUGAUCGGCCACAUUGGGACUGAGACACGGCCCAAACUCCUACGGGAGGCAGCAGUAGGGAAUCUUCCACAAUGGACGCAAGUCUGAUGGAGCAACGCCGCGUGAGUGAAGAAGGCUUUCGGGUCGUAAAACUCUGUUGUUGGAGAAGAAUGGUCGGCAGAGUAACUGUUGUCGGCGUGACGGUAUCCAACCAGAAAGCCACGGCUAACUACGUGCCAGCAGCCGCGGUAAUACGUAGGUGGCAAGCGUUAUCCGGAUUUAUUGGGCGUAAAGCGAGCGCAGGCGGUUUUUUAAGUCUGAUGUGAAAGCCCUCGGCUUAACCGAGGAAGCGCAUCGGAAACUGGGAAACUUGAGUGCAGAAGAGGACAGUGGAACUCCAUGUGUAGCGGUGAAAUGCGUAGAUAUAUGGAAGAACACCAGUGGCGAAGGCGGCUGUCUGGUCUGUAACUGACGCUGAGGCUCGAAAGCAUGGGUAGCGAACAGGAUUAGAUACCCUGGUAGUCCAUGCCGUAAACGAUGAAUGCUAGGUGUUGGAGGGUUUCCGCCCUUCAGUGCCGCAGCUAACGCAUUAAGCAUUCCGCCUGGGGAGUACGACCGCAAGGUUGAAACUCAAAGGAAUUGACGGGGGCCCGCACAAGCGGUGGAGCAUGUGGUUUAAUUCGAAGCAACGCGAAGAACCUUACCAGGUCUUGACAUCUUUUGAUCACCUGAGAGAUCAGGUUUCCCCUUCGGGGGCAAAAUGACAGGUGGUGCAUGGUUGUCGUCAGCUCGUGUCGUGAGAUGUUGGGUUAAGUCCCGCAACGAGCGCAACCCUUAUGACUAGUUGCCAGCAUUUAGUUGGGCACUCUAGUAAGACUGCCGGUGACAAACCGGAGGAAGGUGGGGAUGACGUCAAAUCAUCAUGCCCCUUAUGACCUGGGCUACACACGUGCUACAAUGGAUGGUACAACGAGUUGCGAGGCCGCGAGGUCAAGCUAAUCUCUUAAAGCCAUUCUCAGUUCGGACUGUAGGCUGCAACUCGCCUACACGAAGUCGGAAUCGCUAGUAAUCGCGGAUCAGCACGCCGCGGUGAAUACGUUCCCGGGCCUUGUACACCCCGCCCGUCACACCAUGAGAGUUUGUAACACCCGAAGCCGGUGGCGUAACCCUUUUAGGGAGCGAGCCGUCUAAGGUGGGACAAAUGAUUAGGGUGAAGUCGUA
RNAcentral lists this ribosomal RNA (1500 nucleotides) under Lacticaseibacillus paracasei. RNAcentral's name for it is "bacterial SSU rRNA". It matches the Rfam family "Bacterial small subunit ribosomal RNA". The record is from RNAcentral. Lineage: Bacteria; Bacillati; Bacillota; Bacilli; Lactobacillales; Lactobacillaceae.